This 405-nucleotide ribosomal RNA is filed under the name uncultured bacterium. RNAcentral's name for it is "partial 16S ribosomal RNA". It matches the Rfam family "Bacterial small subunit ribosomal RNA", at positions 30 to 526 of the family's 1533-position model. The record is from RNAcentral.
AUUGAACGCUAGCGGCAUGCUUUACACAUGCAAGUCGAACGAGUGGCGGACGGGUGAGUAAUAUAUCGGAACGUGCCCAGUAGCGGGGGAUACCUACUGGAAACGGUGCCUAAUACCGCCUACCAUUGGAUCGGCCGAUUGCGGAUUAGCUAGUUGGUGGGGAAAAGGCUCACCAAGGCCACGAUCCGUAGCUGGUUUGAGAGGACGACCCGCCACACUGGGACUGAGACACGGCCCAGACUCCUACGGGAGGCAGCAGUGGGGAAUGUUGGGCAAUGGGGGAAAGCCUGAUCCAGCCAUCCCGCGUGUAUGAGAAGGCCUUCGGGUUGUAAAGUACUUUUGGCAGGGAAGCGGUAUCUGCAGAAUAAGCACCGGCUAACUACGUGCCAGCAGCCGCGGUAAUAC